This is an RNA transcript of Erigeron canadensis, 1359 nucleotides long. It is a transcript of the gene named tRNA pseudouridine synthase A, with no coding region annotated. The transcript has 11 exons. The record is from RefSeq and is a predicted model, not a curated record. Lineage: Eukaryota; Viridiplantae; Streptophyta; Magnoliopsida; Asterales; Asteraceae.
UAAUUAUAGGGUUAAAAAUGGACAAAAAUCACAACUUUAUAGGGAAGUACUUGAAUGAAUGAAUUUGAAGACGGCGAGCGAGAAGAAACACAAUCAUCAAUGACAGACGAGCAUCAUCAGAAGUCGGCGGAGCGGCCAUUAAAGAUCCCCAGAUUAGCAUCAGAAGAAGAAGGAAUGAAAAGGGGUGUCCAAAGGUAUCUGAUAGCGAUCGAAUACAACGGAACUCGUUUUUCUGGUGCUCAACAGCAAGCCCCUCAUUGCAGAACUGUUGUUGGUGUUCUUCAGAAUGCAUUUCAUAAGUUUAUCGGUCAGCCCGUUUCCAUUUUCUGCUCCAGCCGUACUGAUGCAGGUGUACAUGCAUUAGCAAAUGUCUGUCAUGUAGAUGUAGAACGUAUAAGCAAAAGAAAACCUGGUGAAGUGUUGCCACCUCACGAACCUUCUGUAGUCAAGAAAGCUGUCAACCAUUUCUUACAGAAGAAUGAAGGUGAUAUAAUGAUUACUGAUGUUCGAUGUGUUGCGGCUGACUUUCAUGCUAGAUAUAAAGCUCAAGAGCGAACUUACCAUUAUCGAUUGCUAUCAGGUCCAGAGUCAUUAUCGACCUUUGAGAAAGAUCGGGCAUGGCAUGUACCCGAGGAACUUGAUCUUUCAGCAAUGCAGAAAGCUUGUAAAGUUCUUGAGGGACUACAUGAUUUCAGUUCCUUCCGAGCUUCUGGCUGUCAGGCAAAAUCACCAAUCAGAAGCUUGGAUGAACUUAAUGUUAUCGAGGUUUUGCCAUCUCCAUGUUUCCCAUUAGCAAGGGAGAGGGAAACACAAAAUCCCGUGAAGGAAGAUCUUUCUGUUUGCUCUGCGUCUACUGAUGAGGCAAGUUUUGAAUUUGGCUUGAGGAGAAGGCAUCGUAGUUUUGUGGUUACUGCACGUGCACGUUCUUUUCUUUACCAUCAGGUGAGAUUUCUUGUUGGUGCUAUAAAAUCUGUGGGCACCGGAGAUCUAACAGUUUCUGAUGUUGAACGCAUCCUGGAAGCUAAAACAGUAACUGCUAAUGGUCCAUUGGCUCCUGCUUGUGGUCUGUACCUUGCACACGUCAAAUAUGAUCUCCCAUGAUCGCUUCAGGAGUCUACAAACCACCUUCAAGGAGAGGAUUUCUUUUGUGAUUCAAUGAAAUCGUCCCACUGGAAAGCUGCAGCUCAAUGUGAGUGUUUGAGGUUUCGUAAACUAAUCCGACAAGAAAAAAGAUAACGGAGAGUACUAGAGAAGUAUUCUAUUAAAUUGAAGUGUUGCUUAGCAGAUCAAUGUAGUUUAAUAGAUUUUUACUAGAGUAUUCAAUAAUUCGAAAAGUGGGGUUGGUUUGUAUGUUAAAAA